RNAcentral lists this long non-coding RNA (217 nucleotides) under Pogona vitticeps (central bearded dragon). Its description in RNAcentral is "lncRNA (ENSPVIG00000009403.1)". Lineage: Eukaryota; Metazoa; Chordata; Lepidosauria; Squamata; Agamidae. The record is from RNAcentral.
GCACAGAUGGCAAGGGAUGCUGGACUGGAGGCAAGAUAUCUGAUUACUUAAUUCAAAUUCCCUGGGCCUUCUUUUGAAAUUUAAUGGACAACAGCCAGAGCUGGUGGAAAGUUUAAAGUACAGAAACCAAUGCAAGCUGAUAAAUCCACAGCCUCUUCAUUCUAAAUACCGAGAAACGAAAUUUACACUGUCUGGGAGAGCAGAGAACCAGUGGCAG